UUGAGAGCGGCGGACGGGUGAGUAAUGCCUAGGAAUCUGCCUGGUAGUGGGGGAUAACGUUCGGAAACGAACGCUAAUACCGCAUACGUCCUACGGGAGAAAGCAGGGGACCUUCGGGCCUUGCGCUAUCAGAUGAGCCUAGGUCGGAUUAGCUAGUUGGUGAGGUAAUGGCUCACCAAGGCGACGAUCCGUAACUGGUCUGAGAGGAUGAUCAGUCACACUGGAACUGAGACACGGUCCAGACUCCUACGGGAGGCAGCAGUGGGGAAUAUUGGACAAUGGGCGAAAGCCUGAUCCAGCCAUGCCGCGUGUGUGAAGAAGGUCUUCGGAUUGUAAAGCACUUUAAGUUGGGAGGAAGGGCAGUUACCUAAUACGUGAUUGUUUUGACGUUACCGACAGAAUAAGCACCGGCUAACUCUGUGCCAGCAGCCGCGGUAAUACAGAGGGUGCAAGCGUUAAUCGGAAUUACUGGGCGUAAAGCGCGCGUAGGUGGUUUGUUAAG
RNAcentral lists this ribosomal RNA (502 nucleotides) under Pseudomonas sp. RNAcentral describes it as "bacterial SSU rRNA". It matches the Rfam family "Bacterial small subunit ribosomal RNA", at positions 89 to 587 of the family's 1533-position model. The record is from RNAcentral. Lineage: Bacteria; Pseudomonadati; Pseudomonadota; Gammaproteobacteria; Pseudomonadales; Pseudomonadaceae.